This 253-nucleotide ribosomal RNA is filed under the name uncultured bacterium. Its description in RNAcentral is "partial 16S ribosomal RNA". It matches the Rfam family "Bacterial small subunit ribosomal RNA", at positions 524 to 776 of the family's 1533-position model. The record is from RNAcentral.
UACAGAGGUGGCAAGCGUUGUUCGGAAUUACUGGGCGUAAAGGGCGCGUAGGCGGCCUACUAAGUCAGACGUGAAAUCCCCCGGCUUAACCUGGGAACUGCGUCUGAUACUGGGAGGCUUGAGUAUGGGAGAGGGAUGUAGAAUUCCAGGUGUAGCGGUGAAAUGCGUAGAUAUCUGGAGGAAUACCGGUGGCGAAGGCGGCAUCCUGGACCAUAACUGACGCUGAGGCGCGAAAGCUAGGGGAGCAAACGGG